UGGCCCCACACGGAUCUCCCCAUCUGUGUGAAGUUUCACCCGAGCUGCUGUGGGCUGCAUUUUAAUCCCGUUGUACCGAGGCCUUUCCCCAUUCUCGGCUGGUGCGUGGAACACAGGAAGGCCGUGCAGGGGCGAGUGACCUCCUUGUUUCCCAUCGGGCUCCCGGCUGGACGCUCACACUACUUCCAGUGGUGUCUGGCUUGAAUCUCUUGGCUUUCAGGUGGUCUUUCAUUCCUUUUGCUUUUUUUUGGUACCGGGGAUCAAACUCGGGUCCUUGUGCUCGUGAGGCAGGCGGCGGAACCACUGAGCUAAAUCCCCGGCCUGGUCCUUCAUUUCUUAUCCAAACAAUGAUAGUUUUCUCUCUUCCUUUCCAACUUCUAGGAUCUUCUGAUAAGGAUCAAGAGCACCAGCAAUAGCAGAGUUACCGGCACAGAAGAGCCAGAGUGCAUGAUCCAGAGGCUGGGAGGGAGCCUGCCAUCGAGAGUGAUGAGCUCCUGGAGUUACUCACCAAAUGACCUCGUCCUACAUGUGACAAGCAAAGCUUAUUUUCCCCUCGUCAAUAAAGACUUUCUCAUCUCCUGUUACCUUUGCUGCCUUGUGUGCACCAUGCUGUUUCUGCUCUGCCAUGCCUAUUUGUCAUCCCUGCCUUGCAGUCUGCUGAAUGUGGAAUGAAACUUUUUUUUACAUGUUAAAAUAAGACAUUUAUUAUGCUAAAGAACAGAUUUUAUUCUCCAGUUUCCCAAAACACUAAAAUAAGCACACAGCGUAGUAAUUUCAUACACACUACAAAGUGAUGUAUGCACUCAUUCCCAAAAUGACUAUCUUAAGCUUCACUUUGGGAGUCCUUAAAAACUUACACUCUUAGCUGAUCUUUAUUAAAGUUAUCAACAAACAAGUUACUUCAGAAAAGUCCUCGUG
This 918-nucleotide long non-coding RNA is filed under the name Heterocephalus glaber (naked mole-rat). Its description in RNAcentral is "lncRNA (ENSHGLG00100049387.1)". Lineage: Eukaryota; Metazoa; Chordata; Mammalia; Rodentia; Bathyergidae. The record is from RNAcentral.